GUUUCCCAUCGUGCUCUGUACCAAAAUCUCCAUCGUUUCCAUGAUUUGCAUCACCUCCUCUCACAGUUGUAGAUUGAUUUGCCGGCUUUCGAAAACCGACAUUUGUUCCUUUAGAAGAACAACAAAAAGAAAGAGAUUGCGUGUGUUACCAGAAAAGUUAAUUGGAAAUGCAACAUCGCGAGUCAUUUGUGGUUGUUGGGAUUUUUUUCUUCUUUGCCGCACCAGAAGGAAAGUACACCAUCAAGUGUGGAAAGGAGGAUGGAAAUUGAGGCACGCGCCUCUCGUUGCUCACGACGUGAAGAAAAGAAGGAUUUUAUUUACAACUACAUUGUUACCGGGAAGAUGUUUUCCUUACAAGAAAAUAUAUAUCUAUAUGUAAAGGAGCCAUUCACGUUAUUGCCAGGUAAAAUGAUUUAUUCAGUCUUUUAAGGUCACUGAGAUGAUAUUUUUCUAUGGCAGAAAAUUCUCGUUUGAAUCGAGAUGAAGAAGCUUUCUUUACAAAGGCAAAGAAUUACGACUUUGCUUAUACAGAAUGUGAAUCGCGAAUUGAGAAGGAGAUGCGAUCUCGACGAUUAUCUUUAAAAUGAGAACGCGAGAGCUUCGCUUUCUGGAUGGUCUUCCGGUCUUACAGUCAAGGACGAUUGAAGAACUGAAUAUAUAUCCGGACCUGAUUGGGAUAUACAAAACGAAGUCAAAAGGAGUGCCUCAGACAUAUUUUAUAAAUGCACAAAGUUUCUAUAAGAAAUGUGGAUAUAUUAUUUUCUUGAUGCAGUCAAGUUUUGCUUGUAUAUAUUACAUUUUAUAGUAAAUAACGAAGGGAAUGCCUCUGCUUCGCACGCUUUGUCGGUCAAUCUACUUUGAAUUUAUAAAAGCAAACCACUCGCAGGAGUCGGUCAAACUGGCCGGCGAACUCACUAAUACUACAUUAUAAGAAUAUUAUAGAAGAAAAUUAGAACGUCGCGCAAAGGAGCUUUACAGGUCGAAUCUUGGAACAAUAUACGAACACGAGGAAAAAGAUAUAUAUUUAGAGGAAAGUAGAUGCGCGUUUUAUUUAAAAAAAAAAUUAUUUUCACAUAUGGAUACCAAGGACGGAGAAAAUAACCGCCUAUAGGAAACACGAGUUACUUUUCCCCUGGAUUUUUUCUAUAUCAGGUUUGUGCGGAUACUAUUUCUCUCUUGAUUGCAGACUCUUGGUCCAGUUAUGUUUUAUAUGAUUAAACGUGAUCUACGCGGGGCAAUUAAAUAAAAAUGCAGUAUUGAUCGAGCAGCAAAUGCAAUUAUAAAAUUCCGCUUUCUCACCAAGAAGCUUACGGAUGAAAAUAUUUGGCAACAAUCAGGACAAUAAAAAAAUGUGACAACCAAUAGAAAUGAGAGUUCAAGUCGGUAAUACAGAAAAAAAACGGAGUUAGUUUUAUAAACUGAUGCAAUAUGUCACCACUGGAUAUUUCUUUUUCCCGCCAAUAACGUUUGAAAAUUUUCGGAAUUGCUAUUAUUUUAACUACAUUUUUCUUCUAAAUAUAUGAUUUUGGUGGCACAGGUUCAAUUUUCACAGCCGUCGUUGUUGCAUGAAGAGAAGUCGAUACCUCGGCAACUUGACAAGGAACGGAAGCCAAGGGUUCUCUUUUUACUAAACUGUUCAAAUUGGAGCUAUCAGUG
Leptopilina boulardi is the source of this 1656-nucleotide long non-coding RNA. RefSeq lists it as uncharacterized. The record is from RefSeq and is a predicted model, not a curated record. NCBI's taxonomy places the organism in Eukaryota, Metazoa, Arthropoda, Insecta, Hymenoptera, Figitidae. The transcript has 10 exons.